This 4200-nucleotide long non-coding RNA is filed under the name Sus scrofa (pig). RNAcentral's name for it is "lncRNA (ENSSSCG00000055952.1)". The record is from RNAcentral. Lineage: Eukaryota; Metazoa; Chordata; Mammalia; Artiodactyla; Suidae.
ACCCCAGGUACUUUGAACAUCACUGCUGUGUUUUCUCCGAGAUCAUGCUUCCCAUGGGGCCGCUUUCAGCUAAUGACUGAGCAUGGAAGGAUACUAAGUUAAGGCCAUUCCUAGAAGACAUGAGAUUCCACUAAUGACUAAAUUUGGAUUCCCUGAUGAUAGCCUUGCUGAAUCUUCCUUAAACCAAAUGACAGUCUAGGAUUCUAUUAACAAUCUUCCUUAAACCAAAUGACAGUCUAGGAUUCUAUUAACAAUCUUCCCUUUAUCACUCCUUUACUUCAGGUCUGACUUACCUCUGGUCUGACAUCUCUCCCAGUCUCCUGGCUCCCUUCUCAUAUUGUGUCAUACAACUAUUUAAUUAAAUCCUUCUACAUCUAAUCAUAUCCUAGUAUCUGUUUCUCAGGAGACUCCAAGUAACAAUCUUUAUCUAAUGAAAAUAAUUUCCUUUCAUUUCUAUUAUUGUAGGAAUUUUGAACUUUCAUUUCUUCUAGUAGAUAAAUUAAAUAUUUUGAUUCAUAUCAUCAGUAUUUCUCUUUAGAGGAGUAUAGUGUUAACUGGGACUUUAUGUGCAUAUCUCUAUACUUCAUUUACUUCUCUCGGGGACUUAUUUGUUUGUUUGUUUUGAGUAUUUGUUUUAUUUAUAUAAUUACUUUUUGAAAGUUAGAGAAACUAACAAGUGCUGAAUUAUUAUCCAUAAUUUUUUCUCCCCCUUCUUUCCAUCUAAGAAUUGUGAGACCUAGUAACUUUUAUGGCUUUAGUAGGUUUCUAUUUUUUCAAGUUAAUGGCAUGUAUUUUCUCCUCAACUCUUUACCCAUACCUCUCUUGUUUCCCUCCAAGCUGUCUGUAGGAUGUCAAUACAUAUUUUCAAGACAGGUUUAACUUGUCCUUCUACAUGACUUCUGGGAUGGAAUAGGAGUUGUUUGUAGAUUUUUGAUCUUGUCUUUCUCUGCAUUCCUGGAUUUCUUAUCUCACAAUUUAUGAUGUGCAUUUGCAUGCUAUCAUUAUAAAUGCACUUGCAUGUUUUUUCACUUGCUUACUGAAAUUUUUUGUCACUCUUCUUAAAUGUAAGGAAGGAAUCUUUUAUAUUCUUCCUUCAGUAGUGCUAUUGUUAUGCCAAAGUUACUUCAAUACCAUUUUAACAUGCAAUAAAAUUGAUAAUUAAAACUGUAUUAAUUCCAAAUGAAGAAUCAACUUUGAAGUAAAUUAUAUUUUUUCUGGUUGGAAGUUCUCACUUAUUAUAUCAGAAAUACCCUUCAAGAUAGCACCUUCGAUUAUACAAUUUGUGAAUGAAACAACUUUGUUGCAGAAGUAGAAUUCUAAUAUACGUGAUUUGCAACUGUUAGUAAAUUUCCUGAAUUGCAAAUGUAUGUGUUUUCAAAAUAUUACAUUAUAAUAUAUUUAGGAAGGGAUAGGGAAAACCUAAAAGCUCUUCAUACAAGUCUACACUUUAAUAUACUAUGAGUGAGUCAGAUAUGGGAGAGCAUGAAUACAGGAAUCAUGUGGAUGUCUACAUGCAGAAUUAUUAGGUCAGGAUGUCAAAGUCUGGAGGUGGUUGUUCAGAGCACCAGGUUUGGCUUGGCCCUCAUGGUGAGCAGAGGCAGUGGGUGAAUUCUCAGCCUAGGAUAUUAUACAGUCCACAUAAUACAGAAAGAAAACAGAACUUCUAGUCAGUUUGGUGAAGUGAACUGACAUGAUAAACUCCCACAUACAAUCCCACAGUAGUAAUAUAUAACUUAUAAUAAUUUAAUAUUUACUUAACCAAUAUUAAAAAUAUAAAAGAUAAGUGUUUGAGUGCUAGAAAUAAAAAGCACUUCAAAUUAGAUUGAUGAAGAGGAGUUUAAUUGAAUAGUUCAUAAAGAUAUUGGAACCAGGAGAGAGUUUUAAUGCCUAUGCUGGGAGACAGUAAUUUAUGACACAUUUCUCUUGAAAUAACCCAAUUCUAUGCUUAAUAUGAUUGAAUUUUUGGACCUUUCUUAUUAUAUUAUAGCAGGAUUUUAUUACACAUAGCAAGUCUGGAAAUGAAAACAUAUAGUCAUUGAAAUGAAAAAUUCAACAAGUGGUUUAUAAAAAGAGGAUAAGCUAAUUGGAAGAUGAUUUUGGUGUACUGAGAAACUCAAACAUAUUGGUGAACAGAAGAUAAAGAAAUAGAAAAUAAAUUUGAAUUAAAAAAAACUCAGGGAAUAAAUGAUGAGAAAGUCCAAUAUAUGUUGAAUAGGAGUUCUAGAAGGAAUGAGCAGAGAGACAAAGGAGGAGACAAUAAUGACAGAGUAACAGAUGAGAAUUUCUCAGAAGUGAAUAAAAACAGGAUCUUUUUGUUGAACAAGCAGUUUUACAUGACUAGGUUUAUACUAGGAAAAUUAAGGCAGUGUAUAUUUAUGUUCUAAAUCAAAUAUAAAACAUCGUGCUUAUUUGUAUUUAUUUGUAAAAUGUAAUUACUAAACUUUUUCAACUGUGCCAUUAUGCUCUUAAGAUACAAAGAAACUAGAUCAUAAGCAGUAAAGAGAAAAUAUAUAAUCUUCUGAUAAAAUCAUCCUCUAACAGAAAGAGCCCAAACCAACAAAUUUACAGAUAAAAACUGCAAAGAUAAAGAGAUAUAACAGGAGUAAGUAAAGCAUAUGAAAGAUUACUGCUUCAUGAAAGUGAAAGAAAUAAUUCUAUCCAGUGUAUACACAUGCAUAAUCAUGCUGGGACCUGCAGAUAGGCUUUCGUAUCAGAGAGCAGGAUGAGCCUCAGAUGGUGCACAGUGCUGGAGGUUAAGACGAAGCAGAGGAGGCAUCCUGGGUUUCCCCUGAAAGGAGAUGGUCCUUUGUCUAAGAGAAUAGUCCUACACAAUGCAUAAACUGAAGCCAGCCUGAAAACUGUCUUAUUGGUCCUCAGUGAGAAAAGUAGAAAAGGUGAGAGUGGUCAUUUGGAAAUUUUUAGAGUAAUUUGGCAUUACCAGGAAAUCCAAGUGCAUGACUGCAUACUUCACAAAAGUAUCAGUCUGAGAGAGAUUAGAUAUUAAAAACAAACAAACAUCAAUAGGAACAAAAAACUAGCCCUUCUCCAUAGAUAGUUUGAGAGGGCUUCCAAAGAAUUCUAAGUUGGGAGGUGCUGUUACAACUGGAAAAUGAUCAGAAUUUUAUAUAUGAGAAAGAUGGGCUCAGAGCAGGAAGGCAAGUUGCUUAAGUUCAAACAGCAAGUAAGCGAAGCACAGUUCUUUUUAAUUUCAAUGGAACAAUAUUUACACCUUAUUGUCAAUUUAAGUUAUUCUUGGUUCUUCUGAGAAGCUUGAAAAAGACAUCUGUUCGCUCUGAAGGAACAUAUAUGGAGCACACGCUAUAGCCUCCUUUUCUUUAAAUCCCUAUAAAUGAGAGAAAAAUUUCCCAAAUCCAUAAUGAUUUUUGGAAAAUGAGGAGACUCUGUGGUAGACUAGAAAUUGUGAUGGAUACUGACAAAUUAAAAGGAGAUGGAGUUUAAUUAAAGAAGGAAACAGUAACUCAAGAUUUAUGAAUGAUGAUUCUGUAGCAGAAGUGGUAGUGAUAGCAAGCCUGCUUCUUCCCAGAAAUGAUGGUCACCUGGAGGAAGAGAAGAAGGCACAGAAGAAAAUAACAGAGAUGAAUUGAGUUGUCACAGGCUGAACGGCCAGGAAGCUCUUGUACAUCUUGAGACAAGCAACAACAAGGGAAGAGCUGGGUUUCUUCCAGAUGAGGACAGUGGAAGUAUGAUGUUGAACUGAAGAAUGAGAACAAUAGCCUGGGUAGAUAAAAAUGCUUAGGAGAAGUGAAGAACAAAAGUAAGCCACAAGGCUUGUCACAACUGGUAAGCAUGCCCCAGAACUACUCUCACUAAAACAUACAAAAGUAAAAGCCAUGUUGUACCCUGCCUCUACCCUAAGCAGACUAUGCAAACAGAGCCUAAAAAAACAUCUCAACUCCAGAAAGUGUUCACAAUAAAAAAAUAACUAAUAAAAAUCAGGGGAUGCCAGCAUCAAGAAUGAAUAAUGAUCAACUAAAAAAAUAGCAUGUCUACAUAAGCAGUUAAUAAAUAUAAGCUGUAGAGGGCUUUAAAAUAAAUUGUAUUUACUUUCUGAGAAAAUGAAAGAAGUAGCAUAAGUCAUUGAAAUGGAUGAUUUAAUUAUUGGUUUGAAAUAAAACUUCAAUUAUUGGAAUGAGUAACAGAAUGGAUUUAAGUGAGGGGAAAUUAGUUUAUUGGUUGAAU